RNAcentral lists this transfer RNA (53 nucleotides) under Bescherellia elegantissima. Its description in RNAcentral is "partial tRNA-Phe". It matches the Rfam family "tRNA", at positions 1 to 51 of the family's 71-position model. From Rfam's summary of the family: Transfer RNA (tRNA) molecules are approximately 80 nucleotides in length. Their secondary structure includes four short double-helical elements and three loops (D, anti-codon, and T loops). Further hydrogen bonds mediate the characteristic L-shaped molecular structure. tRNAs have two regions of fundamental functional importance: the anti-codon, which is responsible for specific mRNA codon recognition, and the 3' end, to which the tRNAs corresponding amino acid is attached (by aminoacyl-tRNA synthetases). tRNAs cope with the degeneracy of the genetic code in two manners: having more than one tRNA (with a specific anti-codon) for a particular amino acid; and 'wobble' base-pairing, i.e. permitting non-standard base-pairing at the 3rd anti-codon position. Lineage: Eukaryota; Viridiplantae; Streptophyta; Bryopsida; Hypnodendrales; Spiridentaceae. RNAcentral also lists the same sequence under 7 other names. The record is from RNAcentral.
GCUGGAAUAGCUCAGUUGGUAGAGCAGAGGACUGAAAAUCCUCGUGUCACCAG